This 301-nucleotide ribosomal RNA is filed under the name uncultured bacterium. Its description in RNAcentral is "partial 16S ribosomal RNA". It matches the Rfam family "Bacterial small subunit ribosomal RNA", at positions 509 to 809 of the family's 1533-position model. The record is from RNAcentral.
CAGCAGCCGCGGUAAUACGAAGGGUGCAAGCGUUACUCGGAAUUACUGGGCGUAAAGCGUGUGUAGGUGGUUGUUUAAGUCUGUCGUGAAAGCCCUGGGCUCAACCUGGGAAUUGCGAUGGAUACUGGGCGACUAGAGUGCGGUAGAGGAUAGUGGAAUUUCCGGUGUAGCAGUGAAAUGCGUAGAGAUCGGAAGGAACAUCUGUGGCGAAGGCGACUAUCUGGGCCAACACUGACACUGAGACACGAAAGCGUGGGGAGCAAACAGGAUUAGAUACCCGGGUAGUCCCUGUCUUUAUACA